GACGAACGCUGGCGGCGUGCUUAACACAUGCAAGUCGAACGGAAAGGCCCUGCUUUUGUGGGGUGCCCGAGUGGCGAACGGGUGAGUAACACGUGAGUAACCUGCCCUUGACUUUGGGAUAACUUCAGGAAACUGGGGCUAAUACCGGAUAGGAGCUCCUGCUGCAUGGUGGGGGUUGGAAAGUUUCGGCGGUUGGGGAUGGACUCGCGGCUUAUCAGCUUGUUGGUGGGGUAGUGGCUUACCAAGGCUUUGACGGGUAGCCGGCCUGAGAGGGUGACCGGCCACAUUGGGACUGAGAUACGGCCCAGACUCCUACGGGAGGCAGCAGUGGGGAAUAUUGCACAAUGGGCGGAAGCCUGAUGCAGCAACGCCGCGUGCGGGAUGACGGCCUUCGGGUUGUAAACCGCUUUCGCCUGUGACGAAGCGUGAGUGACGGUAAUGGGUAAAGAAGCACCGGCUAACUACGUGCCAGCAGCCGCGGUGAUACGUAGGGUGCGAGCGUUGUCCGGAUUUAUUGGGCGUAAAGGGCUCGUAGGUGGUUGAUCGCGUCGGAAGUGUAAUCUUGGGGCUUAACCCUGAGCGUGCUUUCGAUACGGGUUGACUUGAGGAAGGUAGGGGAGAAUGGAAUUCCUGGUGGAGCGGUGGAAUGCGCAGAUAUCAGGAGGAACACCAGUGGCGAAGGCGGUUCUCUGGGCCUUUCCUGACGCUGAGGAGCGAAAGCGUGGGGAGCGAACAGGCUUAGAUACCCUGGUAGUCCACGCUGUAAACGGUGGGUACUAGGUGUGGGGUCCAUUCCACGGGUUCCGUGCCGUAGCUAACGCUUUAAGUACCCCGCCUGGGGAGUACGGCCGCAAGGCUAAAACUCAAAGGAAUUGACGGGGCCCCGCACAAGCGGCGGAGCAUGCGGAUUAAUUCGAUGCAACGCGUAGAACCUUACCUGGGUUUGACAUGGAUCGGGAGUGCUCAGAGAUGGGUGUGCCUCUUUUGGGGUCGGUUCACAGGUGGUGCAUGGCUGUCGUCAGCUCGUGUCGUGAGAUGUUGGGUUAAGUCCCGCAACGAGCGCAACCCUUGUUCACUGUUGCCAGCACGUUAUGGUGGGGACUCAGUGGAGACCGCCGGGGUCAACUCGGAGGAAGGUGGAGAUGACGUCAAGUCAUCAUGCCCCUUAUGUCCAGGGCUUCACGCAUGCUACAAUGGCUGGUACAGAGAGUGGCGAGCCUGUGAGGGUGAGCGAAUCUCGGAAAGCCGGUCUCAGUUCGGAUUGGGGUCUGCAACUCGACCUCAUGAAGUCGGAGUCGCUAGUAAUCGCAGAUCAGCAACGCUGCGGUGAAUACGUUCCCGGGGCU
RNAcentral lists this ribosomal RNA (1346 nucleotides) under uncultured bacterium. RNAcentral's name for it is "partial 16S ribosomal RNA". It matches the Rfam family "Bacterial small subunit ribosomal RNA", at positions 28 to 1381 of the family's 1533-position model. The record is from RNAcentral.